Molecule: RNA transcript, 4861 nt
Organism: Triticum dicoccoides
Lineage: Eukaryota; Viridiplantae; Streptophyta; Magnoliopsida; Poales; Poaceae
Gene name: disease resistance protein PIK6-NP-like
Exons: 4
Source: RefSeq, a predicted model, not a curated record
AAAACGGCGUGAGGAGUGUAGUAGUAUGUGGGUCUUGAACAUAAGCAUAGACUGUAAGCUUGGUAGGUAGCGGCGGAGCCAUGGCGGACCUUGUGGUGGGCAUGGCCAAGUCGGUGGUGGAUGGGGCGCUGACCAAGGCCCAGGCGGCGAUCGAGGAGGAGUCGAAGCUGCGGCAGAGCGCGCAGCGCAACCUGGUGUUCAUCACCGGCGAGUUCCAGAUGAUGCAGGCCUUCCUCAACAACGCCGACAGUGACCGCCUGGAGAAUCCGGUGGUGCGGACCUGGGUGCGGCAGAUCCGCGACCUGGCCUACGACGUGGAGGACUGCAUCGAGUUCGUCGUCCACCUCGACAAGAACAACAGCUGGUGGCUCCGCCUUCUCAACCCCGUGAGCUGGCUCCUCGCGCCCUGCCUGGAUCUCGCCCCGCUGCCGCUCGACGAGGCGGUCGACGAGCUGGACCGGCUCAAGGCCAGGGUGGAGGACGUGAGCAGCAGGAACACGCGCUACAGCCUCAUCAGCGACUCCGGCUCCAAGCCCGCCGCCGCCGACGACGACAAGCACGACCCGGCUUCCUCCCGCGAUGCCGUCGGUGGCGCGACGGCGUUCAACAGGCUCUUCGAGGCGGCGUUUAGAACCACCCAAAAAGGGGAUCUCACCCAGCUGCUCCCCAAGAAAGACCAUGACCUCGGAGUCAUCUCCAUCUGGGGCACCGGCACCGGAGGCGGGGAAGAUCUCGGGAUGGCAUCCAUCGCCUGGAACGCCUACGUUGAUAAAGGGACCUGCCAAAACUUCGUAUGUCGCGCAUGGGUGAAGCUGAUGCAUCCCUUCGAUCCCCACCAGUUCGUCCGGUCUUUGACGGCUCAGUUCUACGCAGCCCCCUCCUCUCCCGGCGAGGAACACGCGACCUCCGUAGGUGGCGUACGAGUCCUGAUGAAGAUGGAGGCCGCGGGAGGAGAACCUCUCAAGGAUUUCGAGCAGCUUGUCAUGAACAACAGGUACCUCGUUGUGCUGGAGGGCGUGUCCUCCAUGGCAGACUGGGAUGCUAUGAGGAGGUUCUUUCCAAACAUGAAGAAUGGCAGCUGCAUCAUCUUGCCCACCCACCAGUUCGAGGUAGCAAGCUUGUCCGUUGGACAUCCAUACCAAGUGCUGCAUCUCAACCAGAUAUCAGCAGAGCACUCUGUUUACGCCUUCUUUAGAAAGGGAUCUCCAUAUGAUGUGGAUCAAGGCAGGGAAAUCCAUAAUGCACCCGCCAGCAAGAAUGUAUCAGCCGGCAACUGUAAGGAGGAAGCAGCCAAGAAGUGGAUGAACAGGCAUCCUCUUGUUGGACGCGAGUCGGAAAUGAAGGAUCUUGCUCUAAAGAUAAUUAAUGCACGGUACAAGAGCUACCAAGUUAUGUCCGUGUGGGGAAUAGCUGGCGUUGGAAAAUCAGCUCUCGUCAAGAACAUGUUCUGCGACAGAAUUUGUAUAGGCACCCUAUUCCAGAAGUAUGGUUGGGUGGAUGUAUCACAUCCUUUCAAUUUAUGGAACUUCUCUCGAAUCUUACUUUCCAGUCUUGGUUCUGAGUAUCUUCAAGCCGGUGAGACUGAGGACUUGUGUACGAUGGGAAGCAGAAAUCCCAUUGUCGAGUGUCGUGAGAUUCUGAAAAAGCAUAGAUGCCUGGUUGUUAUUGAUGGACUGCAGUCCACAGAAGAAUGGGAUCUCAUAAAAGCUAACUUGGUAUCAGGGUCUAAUCGUCAGAAUGUUAUCAUCGCCGUUACAAUUGAACAAGAAAUGGCCUCUCAUUGCCGUGGAGUUAAGGGAGAGCUCGUGUUUAAUGUCAAAGGUUUGGAAGCUGACACAGCCUUUGAACUCUUCAAGAAGGUAUCCAAGAAGAGUGAAGUCGCAGAGCUACAAGAACUUACGUCACUAUGUGGUGGACUUCCGAAAGUUAUAGUGGAGAUAGCCAGCUCAUUCGCCAAAAAUACAGAUCGAUGGAAACAUACACUUUCUACCAAAAAUAAGUUUAUGCUAGAGCUCGAGAACAACGGAGAGUUUGACAGUCUAAAGGGUCUGUUUGGUUGGAUGAAUUCAUACUUCCGCAAAUGCCCAGAUUCUCUCAAGCCAUGUAUCCUGUAUCUACCAAUUUUCCCUCGAAACCAGCUCAUUCGGCGGAGGCGACUAGUAAGGCGGUGGAUUGCUGAGGGUUACUCCAGGGACAGCCAUGAAGAAUCUGCAGAGAUGACUGGGGAGAAACAAUUCUGUGACCUCAUUAAUCUGAGCAUAAUCCAGCAGGCAUCUGCGUUGGGUUUGGGCGGCACAAGGAUGGUCUUCUGCCAAGUCAAUGGCUUCUUUCGUGAGUAUAUUGUCUCGCGCCAAAUGGAAGAGAACCUUGUGUUUGAACUUAGGGGCAGUUGUGCCUUAACCACCCAACACACAGGGCGUCACCUUGUGAUAUUAGAGAGCUGGGUCAGAGAUAGAAUUGUGUACGAGAGCAUUGACUUUUCACGCCUCCGGUCACUCAUGGUGUUUGGAAACUGGAAAUCAUUCUUCGUUUCUGAAAGUAUGAGGCUUCUUCGGGUGCUUGAUCUAGAGGGUGCAUCAGAAUUAGAGUAUAGCGACCUCAAGAAGAUUGUGAAGUUGAUGUGUCGCCUCAAGUUCCUCUCACUGCGAGGAUGCCAUGAAAUCUGCCAUCUGCCGAGUUCAAUAGGAGGUCUGAGGCAGCUUCAGACUCUUGAUGUUAGACACACCUCCAUAGUCACCCUGCCGGUGAACAUCACCAAGUUAGAGAAGCUGCAGUACAUCCGUGCGGGAACCACUGCUCCAGCAAAUGAAGCACCAACACCACAUCAUUUAGUGCCCCAGCUGUCCAAUUGCUGUGGUGGUCAUCACCUGGUUGGUGUUGUGAUGCCUCCAGGGAUUGGGAAACUGACUGCAUUGCACACACUUGGUGUUGUCAAUGUCAGUGCUUCAGGGACAAAGGCCGUCCUAGAAGAUCUCAAGAAGCUCACCCAUUUGCACAAACUCGGAGUGUCUGGCAUUAACAAGAAUAACAGCAAUGAGUUUUUCCGGGCAAUCUCAGUUCUUGUCCAUCUGGAAUCACUGUCGGUGCGGCUCGAGGACAACAAUCAAGGUUGUUUGAAUGGUAUACCGCUGCCUUUGGAGGGCUUGAGGAGCCUUAAAAUGCAUGGGCUUGGAGACCAGUUGCCAAACUGGAGUGGGCAGCUCACUAUGCUUGCAAAGAUGGAUUUGGAAAUAGCCAAGUUGAUGGAAGAUAAUGUCUCCCCGCACUCAGAAGGUGCGACGCCAGAAGGAAGAAGGAAACCAACUAGGGGUGUCAUCAAGUUCCUAAGCGAGCUACCAGGAUUAUGUAUUCUACGUCUUCGUGUCGAUCACCUUCAAGAUAAUCAGCUCGACUUGUCUGUCAUUACUAAUGACCUAGAGGAAGACUCUUUCAAGAAAAUGAAGAUCUUCGAGAUUGCUUGCAACUCCAGCUUAGAAGUUAGUUUUGGAGAAAAAACAAUGAAGAAACUUGAGCAGCUGAAGGUCAACUGCUCUAGUGGCUCAUCGUUGUUAGGCCUGAAGCAUUUACCUGAACUCAAGGAAGUCUUGCUCAAGGGUUCCAGUGAUGAAGCACUCAAGGCUGAUCUCAUCGCCGUGCUCGAGAACCACCCAAAGCAAAAGAAACCUGUUGUGAAGUUUGAGGAACUAUGAGAGCCUCUUCGUCCUGAUAGUUUGGGAGGUCAAGGUGGUCAUUAAUCUUGUUGCUGGUUUACUCUUGUAGCACUGCAUCUUAGUUGCUCUGAUUUCAAACAUCAAACCUGGGGCCAUAUACUUCCACAGCAGUCACAUUAGGCACUUGGCAAUUAGUUAUCCUAAGAUUAGCGGGUGUCUUAAACAGCUAACUAGAGACAACAAGGAAAUGGUAAAUGACGAGUAGGGAUACAUUAGCCAUUUGGUCGCCCCUGAACCAUCCAUGACUCUGGAGUGAAGGCCGUGAAGGACAAGUAUUCCCGGACGGAGGGAGUACAAGGUAUCAUGCUAAGUGGAUCAAAGCAUAGUCCAUUAUAUCGACUGGAUGGUCUUGGUCUAUAGGCAUGCUUGAGUGCACACCACAUGCGGAGAGGUUUCUUUUAACGUAUCUUAGCACCUUGUCCAAUAUCCAACGCCAAAACCAAAACUGGACAUUAAGGUUCAUUCUCAACACAUCCGCGAGUAUAUUUGUUGCAACAAGUGUACCUGGCACAUUGUGUAACACCUUGGCAAAGUCAUCUGCUAAUUGUACUAGCCGUGGAUGUUCUGGGGGUCUACACUCCCAAAUGCCAGUGUCUUGAAAAGGUACAGCUCAUCACAAGACAGAUCACUUAGAAAAAUAGGUUUCACCGAUCCAAAGCAGGCUAGUGUUUGAAGUCUACUUAAGAUGAUGAUCUUGGAAACAAGAAUAGUCCAAUCCUACAGUCAAGAGUGUAAAUAAUGAGUAUACUCUUGCUUAAAUUCCCUUUUGUCCUCCCAGAUUGACCAUGGUUGAAUAGCAAGGCAACUUUUCGAAAAUGGAAGCAACUGUAGUAACACCAUCGAUAGUUGUAGCUUUGAAGAACUUCUUAAAUUACUCAAUGAAGCAUCCAGUGAUUGUGCAACUUACUCGGCUUGAUGAUGGCUGGCGGUGGUGUCGUGGUGAGGACCAUGACAGUGCUCCUGCGGCCAUGGGUGCCGGUGAGGGGUAUGGGCCAUGAAUGUUCAUCUUGGUUUGAUUAUGUUAUGACCGGCAUAUUACGGGCUUAGCCCAGUUAGUUGUGGCCCAGUUUAUCUUAUCGUUAUUAGGGGCUUAGCCGUUUCCUAGUUUAUCGAUCGCAUCUGCCUCCCGGGUCGCUCCUCCAGGCGACUCC